RNAcentral lists this unclassified non-coding RNA (471 nucleotides) under Hevea brasiliensis (rubber tree). The record is from RNAcentral. Lineage: Eukaryota; Viridiplantae; Streptophyta; Magnoliopsida; Malpighiales; Euphorbiaceae.
UAGGUGCCAGAUUCAGGAGUGGUAUCCCAGAUUUAAAUCUGAUUCCAUAAAAACAAUGAUUCAUGAGCUGCCUGAAUCCUUUAUAGAGUAUCUUAUGGAUGAUCAUGGUCCGUUCCUUCUCCCCCUUUCCAUUGAUGACAAUGAUGCACUGCCUAAUAGGAUUCAUAAACCGGAAGAGGAGGAGGACUUUGAAGUAUCUGAAGGAUCGGAAGAUGAAUCAGAACAACCGUCACCUCCUCCUUCUUUUCCGGAACUGGAAAUGAAGAUCAAGGAAUCUAUAGAGUCCCUUGGGGGCUCUGUCUUCCCUAAGCUUAAUUGGAGUGCACCAAAAGAUGCUGCAUGGAUCAGUUCAACUGGGAAUCUAUGUUGCAACUCUUUCAGUGAGGUUGCAAUUUUACUACGGGCAUCGGAUUCUCUAGUCCAUGAUCUGUGCCAUGUGUAUGAUUCCUGCAGUGAUAAGACUGUCUCAAG